This 252-nucleotide ribosomal RNA is filed under the name uncultured bacterium. RNAcentral describes it as "partial 16S ribosomal RNA". It matches the Rfam family "Bacterial small subunit ribosomal RNA", at positions 525 to 776 of the family's 1533-position model. The record is from RNAcentral.
ACGGAGGGUGCAAGCAUUAAUCGGAAUUAUUGGGCGUAAAGGGCGCGUAGGCGGAUAUAUAAGUCAGAUGUGAAAUUCCGGGACUCAAUUUCGGAGCUGCAUUUGAAACUAUAAAUCUCGAGGAUUGGCGGAGAGAACGGAAUUCCACGUGUAGCGGUGAAAUGCGUAGAUAUGUGGAAGAACACCGGUGGCGAAAGCGGUUCUCUAGCUAAUUCCUGACGCUGAGGCGCGAGAGCAAGGGGAUCAAACAGG